This 73-nucleotide transfer RNA is filed under the name Erinaceus europaeus (western European hedgehog). It matches the Rfam family "tRNA". From Rfam's summary of the family: Transfer RNA (tRNA) molecules are approximately 80 nucleotides in length. Their secondary structure includes four short double-helical elements and three loops (D, anti-codon, and T loops). Further hydrogen bonds mediate the characteristic L-shaped molecular structure. tRNAs have two regions of fundamental functional importance: the anti-codon, which is responsible for specific mRNA codon recognition, and the 3' end, to which the tRNAs corresponding amino acid is attached (by aminoacyl-tRNA synthetases). tRNAs cope with the degeneracy of the genetic code in two manners: having more than one tRNA (with a specific anti-codon) for a particular amino acid; and 'wobble' base-pairing, i.e. permitting non-standard base-pairing at the 3rd anti-codon position. The record is from Rfam by way of RNAcentral. Lineage: Eukaryota; Metazoa; Chordata; Mammalia; Eulipotyphla; Erinaceidae.
GGGGAGGUAGCUCAGCAGAUAGGGUGCAGGACUGGCAGGCCUGAGGGUCCAGGUUCGACCCCUGAUAUUGCCU